This 243-nucleotide non-coding RNA is filed under the name Limosilactobacillus gastricus. Its description in RNAcentral is "Lactobacillus gastricus T-box sequence". It matches the Rfam family "T-box leader". Rfam says of the family: Uncharged tRNA acts as the effector for transcription antitermination of genes in the T-box leader family. T-boxes are found upstream of many aminoacyl-tRNA synthetase genes and some amino acid biosynthetic genes usually in Gram-positive bacteria. The record is from RNAcentral. Lineage: Bacteria; Bacillati; Bacillota; Bacilli; Lactobacillales; Lactobacillaceae.
AUAAACAUAUCGAAAAGCAGAGUAGUAACUGGCGAUUAGCAAGAGAGUUCUCGGGUGGUGAAAGAGGAUGAUUUAAGGUUAUGAAGAUGGGCUUGGAAUGGCACUAGCGAUUAUUUAGCUAGUGACGGGGUUGCACACGUUAUUAGUGCAAGGUAAUUCUGUUUGAUCAGAGUAACCUAGCAAGGCUAUUUUUCGUGAGGAAGUAGCAAACUAAAGGUGGUAACACGAGCACUCGUCCUUUAU